AAGCGUGUUGAGUCCUUUAUGUCAUCCUUAAGAGAAGCACUCCCCUAAGUCAGCUAUCAUCUGUAUGAGGACUGAUAAAAAGUCACCAAUAUUUCUGAGCAUUGGACUGAUAAAAAAUUAUUGAGAGGAAGGCUGUUAGAAGGCUACUUGUAGUUGUAUCCGUGUAAGUUUCAUUGCAUCUACUAAUUUCCUAAUUAUUCAGUGUGAAGCAGGGGUUGCUUAUAUGUAAUCGUAGUCAGCCCCAAGGAAUCUGUACUACAGUCUGUUCUGAUACCAUUUGUAACAAUUCAGGAUCUGACCCAAAAAAGCUAGUCGUAAGGUAUUAUUUGGGGUUUUUGAUUCUAUAUAAGUACCAAAAUCUAUCUAGUAAAUAAUCAAUAUAGGACUAAAUACAUGCCUGCAUGAGUCCUCAUAAAAUAAUUCAUAAAAAAGUGAAUACAACUCUCUCUUUCAUGAAAUAUG
Molecule: long non-coding RNA, 462 nt
Filed under: Phoenix dactylifera (date palm)
Lineage: Eukaryota; Viridiplantae; Streptophyta; Magnoliopsida; Arecales; Arecaceae
Description: long non-coding RNA (PDAC_LNC013343)
Source: RNAcentral